Non-coding RNA from Hordeum vulgare subsp. vulgare (domesticated barley), 135 nucleotides. NCBI's taxonomy places the organism in Eukaryota, Viridiplantae, Streptophyta, Magnoliopsida, Poales, Poaceae. The record is from Rfam.
UUAGUAUUACCUCCGUCUCAAAAUUCUUGUCUUACAUUUGUCUAGAUAUGGAUGUAUCUAACACUAAAACAUGAGUAGAUACAUCAAUAUUUAGACAAAUUUAAGACAAUAAUUUUGGGACGGAGGAAGUAUAAU